RNAcentral lists this ribosomal RNA (484 nucleotides) under uncultured bacterium. Its description in RNAcentral is "partial 16S ribosomal RNA". It matches the Rfam family "Bacterial small subunit ribosomal RNA", at positions 29 to 507 of the family's 1533-position model. The record is from RNAcentral.
AUUGAACGCUGGCGGCAUGCCUUACACAUGCAAGUCGAACGGCAGCGCGGACUUCGGUCUGGCUGCGAGUGGCGAACGGGUGAGUAAUACAUCGGAACGUACCCUGUUGUGGGGUAUAACUAGUCGAAAGAUUAGCUAAUACUGCAUACGACCUGAGGGUGAAAGAGGGGGACCGCAAGGCCUCAUGGACCGGGAGGGGCCGAUGUCGGGUUAGUUAGUUGGUUGGGUGAAGAGCCACCUAGCCGACGAUCAGUAGCUGGCCUGUGUGGGCGAUCAGCCACCCUGGGACUGGGACACGGACAAUACUCCUACGGGACGGAGCAGAGUGGAAUUGUAGACAGCGGGGGGGACUAUGAUCCAGUGAGGCCGAGUGUGUGACAGCAGCGUUGCGUGUGGAAAGCAGGUUUGUCCGGAAAGAAACGGCGCUGGCUGAGACCAGGCGUGAAUGACGGUACCGGAUGAAGAAGCACCGGCUAACUACGUG